CCUCUGCAGUUUUUUCUGGCAGCUGCCCCAUUAUGGAGUUGUGCCUUCUGGGUCAGAGAUGAAAAGAGCUGGCUGUAACCCUGUGCAACUGAAACCCUUUUUCCGAAGGACUCUUAAAUCCCAGGAGAAUCCCUUUAAACAUCUGUUCUGUCUUCUCUGGAGAUAGUGAUGGGUGGCUGCUGUGAUACUGUAAUUAGAUGUGGCUCCUUGAUUAACCGGGAUUCCUGUGUCCACCUGGUAACAUCUUUUAAUUGGAGCAUAUAGGUCUGGACCUGAGUCAACUGAACUUCUCCAGUGUGUAGUGAUCAUUAAAUUUGACUUAGAGCCAUUAGAAAAUGUGCUGGAAAACUUGGAGUUGUCUCUGAAUUGCCAUUCAAGCGAUGUGUGUAAGAAAAGCCUACCAGCUCAAGGAAAUGAUUGAAAAUGAGCCAAAAGCAUCGUGUGAGUCAAGAGGCGCAGAAGUGCUGCCAAGCACCGAUUCCCACCAUGGCAGCAACGUCUCCUGGGGUGGUGAAUUCCAAAGAAAUGGCUCUGUGGUGGCUGGCACCGGCUGCAGCAGGAAAGUCACGCAGAAAAAGGAACAAGGCAGCAGGGCAAUUAGAAACACAAUGUCCUGUGGGGCUGAAGGAUGGGUUCAUCCUUCACAGGGAACUUCCUAGUUCCCUAUGGGUCUUGAGGAUGACUGAAAGGCACUUGAUUUGCUGUUUGGUACCCAGCAAGGAAGUUUUACAUCACCUGGUCCUGCUGUGUUUCCAGGUAAGAUCUCUGCCUCUGCUGUGGAAUGAAAGGACACACCAGGUAGCAGUGCCUAGCACUCAGAAAUGGCAACUUCUGUUCCUUUUCCUGGCUGAGUGAGCACAUAGCCUCACCUCC
This is a long non-coding RNA of Corvus hawaiiensis (hawaiian crow), 873 nucleotides long. RefSeq lists it as uncharacterized. The transcript is spliced from 5 exons. The record is from RefSeq and is a predicted model, not a curated record. Lineage: Eukaryota; Metazoa; Chordata; Aves; Passeriformes; Corvidae.